Ornithorhynchus anatinus (platypus) is the source of this 2373-nucleotide RNA transcript. It is a transcript of the gene named proline rich transmembrane protein 1B, with no coding region annotated. The transcript has 5 exons. The record is from RefSeq and is a predicted model, not a curated record. Lineage: Eukaryota; Metazoa; Chordata; Mammalia; Monotremata; Ornithorhynchidae.
CCCACGUGGGGCUCACAGUCUUCAUCCCAUUUUACAGAUGAGCCACUUCUGUGCAAUAGAAGCCCCCUGAUCCUCCCCAGUGCAAAGCCACUGUCAAAUACAGGACCUCAUGACCCUCUCAAAAGAGGAUUCUGACCCUUCCCCACUGCUGCUCCUUGGAUGUUAAGGCUUUCCUGGCCUCACUUCAACUAAUGCAACCUAUUUCUGCCAAGCAAAACUGCUUACAGUGCAGGAAUAUCCAAGAAAAGAUGUCCUGAAGUAUGGUGGAAAUACAAGACUGCAGAGAAGGAGAGAGAUUGGGACUGGAGAAGAAGAUGUGAGAAUCAUCAGCGUAAAGGGUGCAAGAAUGGAGACAGUGGCCCUUUUGCAGCGGAGGGCCCCAGGAGUGCUGAUGUUCUAGAGCGAGGGGGCCCCCGGAUGACCGGAUGGGCCGGCGGAGGGGCAAGACCCCACGGAGCUGACCGCGCGAGCCCCAGGAGAGUGCCGUAGGACACCAGAACGGCAGCCCCCGCUCCCGCCGCUCCCUCUGCUCCUGACCCCUCAGCAUGGGGAGAUGGGAAACCCUGAGCACUGCCCAGCCCAAAAGCACUGCCGUGGAUGGGCGGAUCCCAACACCCCUGUGGGGUUACCAACAUUGGCUUCAUGGGAGAACCCCCUCCUUACACCCCUCCGGACCCAAAGACAGUCCACCUGGUCUACCCACCAUUCCCGCCCAACUUUUCAGGGCAAGUGCCCGUCCUCUACCAGCCAGGGCCCUCCCCGGCAUCCUUGUACCCCCCGGUCCCCUCACCACCAUCCAUGUACCCGCUGGGCCCUCCAUCGCAGACCGUGUACCCACCGGAGCCUACCCUACCACAAUCGUAAGUACCAGGGAGGGCAGGACAGCCCCCACUCCUCCUUCUCUGUCCUUCUCCCUCCCCUGUCCUCCCCAUCCAGUUGGCAGCAUGGAUGUCCAGAGUCACUGCCUUGGUAUUUACUGACUUCGUCCUCCCCAGAGCUGGGCAGGGCUAGUCAGAGGCCCCCACUUCAGCAGGGUCCCAGCAUAACAAUCCCUUGGUGGACAAAGGGGCCGAAGCUCAGAAAAAGUACCAGAUACCAUUAAAACAAACAAAAAAGCAUGGCUCUCCAUACCACCACGCCACCUCUCUUCAGUCCCCCCGGGAUCUGAAGGCCCAAGAUGUCGGGUGCAGGGAGGGAAACUGGCCAUGGUCCCCAAGUUCAGGCUACACCCUCCACCUCUGCCCUGGUGGUCCCACUUUGACAGCUGCCUCUUCCUCCUGCAGUACAACGACCCACUGAGCAGGGCCGUGGGGGGAGCCAGGAGGCGACAUCCUCCCAAGGACUACAUGGUGGAGUCAGUGCUCGUCACACUCUUCUGCUGCCUUCUCACCGGGGUCAUCGCCAUCGUCUACUCACAUGAGACCCGGGCAGCUGUGAACCGUGGGGACCUGGCCCAGGCUGAACAGGCAUCCAGAAAGGCCCGCUCCCUGGUACUCUUCAGCCUGCUCUUCGGGGUCUUUGUGUCUAUCAGCUGGGUCAUCUACGUGGUGGUUGUCCUCUACACACCCUGAGUGACCAACAGGCUCUGACUCCCUGUCAUCUGGCCUCUGGGCCCAGGCCAGCAUCCAGAUGGUACCUGCAGCUCACCGGGGUUGAGCCGCCUGCUCAGAACCAGAAUUUGCCAACAUCAUCACCACCAGCGCCAUUUACUGGGCUCCUGUUUGGGGCAGAACACUGUGCUAGGCGCUUGGGAGCACACAACUGAAGACACAGCCUCUGCCCUGGAAGACCUUGCGAUCUAAUGGAAGGUGUUGGCUCAUACAUCCACAGUGGCCACCAACCCCAAUGUUCACCUCUCCAGCCUCACCUCACUCAUCUCCCUUCCAGACUGGGAAAGUAACACCGCUGAUGGGGAAUUGUCCAGGGAGCCAUCUCGGGACAACUACUCUGGCUAGCCCUCCUACUAGAAAAGUGAGUCUGGGGAGCCGGACCACUAAUGUAUUCUGAGAGUGAAACUCACAGUCUAGCCAUCUACAGGCCCUAACCCCUCCUUCCUGGCUGGGACAUCCCGAGGCAGCUUUCGGUAUUUAUUAUUCCCUGAUUGUUUUUCCCACUCAAGAGAUGAGAAACCCAUGCCUCGGCUGCCAGAAUUUCCUCUUGCUCUUACUAUCUUGUUCCGCUGCCCCUCCCUCAUAGAGCUGCUGAACAAACUACACCCCUCGUUGCCCCCCCCAUCCCCAAACCACAAGGCCCCCGGGGUGUGGGGGAGACUGAAAUUGGAUUCUCUUCUGUGGGCCUUAGUGAAUGACAACUUCCUGACUUGUUUGAUUGAGCUUGGUGAUUAUAAUUAAACACUAAAAAAUCCCUCCAAAA